RNAcentral lists this long non-coding RNA (271 nucleotides) under Eucalyptus grandis. RNAcentral's name for it is "long non-coding RNA (EGRA_LNC003330)". Lineage: Eukaryota; Viridiplantae; Streptophyta; Magnoliopsida; Myrtales; Myrtaceae. The record is from RNAcentral.
CCUCUAAGCGAGGUUUAGUGAGCUAAAUUCACCGGAUUAGCGAGCCGAGCGGACCAAAACGACGGGGACGCCGAGGAGAACAACUUUCCUCAAAGUGGGCCGAGCAUCCGGGCUCGGGAAGGCGGCCAAAACGGGCCAAACGUCCGCUGCAUACCCAUUUUUUUUCAGCUGCUGUCCAUGGCGGUUUGAGGCCGAGGAAGGGUAGAUCCGGCGCCGGUUCGGGUCGGAAAGGGCGGAGGAGCUACGGCGGUGGCUGGCGGCGACGAACGGC